This 377-nucleotide ribosomal RNA is filed under the name uncultured bacterium. Its description in RNAcentral is "bacterial SSU rRNA". It matches the Rfam family "Bacterial small subunit ribosomal RNA", at positions 521 to 896 of the family's 1533-position model. The record is from RNAcentral.
UAAUACAGAGGUCUCAAGCGUUGUUCGGAUUCAUUGGGCGUAAAGGGUGCGUAGGUGGCGAGGCAAGUCAGAUGUGAAAUCCCGGGGCUCAACCCCGGAACUGCAUUUGAAACUGCCUUGCUCGAGUACUGGAGAGGAGACUGGAAUUUACGGUGUAGCAGUGAAAUGCGUAGAUAUCGUAAGGAAGACCAGUGGCGAAGGCGAGUCUCUGGACAGUUACUGACACUGAGGCACGAAGGCCAGGGGAGCAAACGGGAUUAGAUACCCCGGUAGUCCUGGCAGUAAACGGUGCGCGUUUGGUGUGGGAGGAUUCGACCCCUUCCGUGCCGGAGCUAACGCGUUAAACGCGCCGCCUGGGGAGUACGGUCGCAAGAUUA